GUGAAUAUUAGGGUGUCCAACUUAACUUGGAGCCCGACCCUCACUUUCUAACCCUGUGCAUUUGUCUUGGGUAGUAGCUUGCGUCAGCGAGCGAAUCCCAUUUCACUUACAAACACAAAGUCUAUGAAUGUAACAAAUUUAUAACAAAACA
Molecule: unclassified non-coding RNA, 151 nt
Filed under: Rhodotorula toruloides
Lineage: Eukaryota; Fungi; Basidiomycota; Microbotryomycetes; Sporidiobolales; Sporidiobolaceae
Description: ITS1
Source: RNAcentral